Molecule: non-coding RNA, 1503 nt
Organism: Hyla sarda
Lineage: Eukaryota; Metazoa; Chordata; Amphibia; Anura; Hylidae
Source: the annotation of a RefSeq genome assembly
UACAAAAUGGCAUUUUUUUUCGAUUUUGUCGCACAAUGAUUUUUUUUUCCGUUUCGCCGUGCAUUUUUGGGUAAAAUGACUAAUGUCACUGCAAAGUAGAAUUGGCGACGCAAAAAAUAAGCCAUAAUAUGGAUUUUUAGGUGGAAAAUUGAAAGGGUUAUGAUUUUUAAAAGGUAAGGAGGAAAAAUCGAAAGUGCAAAAACGGAAAAACCCUGAGUCCUUAAGGGGUUAAAGUAGUACAGUAACAGAAAAGCAUGUAAAGAUGGCUACCAGAAAAAGAGAGAACAUGUUAGUUUUAUAGCAGAAUCCCCAAAGAGUAGCAACAUUACAUUUUUCAAUUUCCUCCUACAAAUAAUAAGAAAAACAUAUUUUUGCACAUAUUAGAUUGUGAUAUCACAAUAUUUAUCUCUGGUCAUAUCUUACAUUAUACAUUAUCCUAGUGACAUAGUGUAAGAUGAAGUAUAGCUGACACAGGGUUUCCUGUCAGGAUUUUAUAGGAUGAAGCACCACAUGCAAAUGUCUUUCUACAGGUCAUAUGUGUUAUAGGUUAAAAGCCGCCUGUCACCCAGGAUGUGACUGCGAAUCACUGGAUUGCAGGGACACUAUACAACAUGUUGCUGUUCUGGUGUGUGCUGUGUGUAUCCUCACUGCAGGGAGUGUUGUCACAGGCGCAGCUUGUUCAGCCAUCCGCAGAAGUCAGAAAGCCUGGAGAGAGUGUGAAGAUGUCCUGUAAGACGUCUGGAUUUUCAUUCACAGGCUCCUAUAUACACUGGAUUCAACAGGUUCCUGGAAAAGGAUUGAAAUGGGUCGGAAGAAUUGACCCUGCAGAUGGAAACACAGUAUAUUCCUCAUCCUUUGAAGGACGAUUCACAAUAACAACAGACAAUUCCAUCACCACAGCCUAUUUACAGAUAAACCGCCUCAGUCUGGAGGAUUCAGCCACAUAUUACUGUGCAAGACACAAUGAGAAAAAGAGGCCAUCUGCCAUACAAAAACAUACACAAACAAUACCAGCAUUGACCAGAUGGGGGCAGCAAAUAGUCACAGUUUCAUGUUUUAGGGUACGUUCCCACACGGCGUAUUUGCUGCGUAUUUGCUGCUGCGUAUUUUAUUUUCCCUGUUGAAGUCAAUGGGUAGGAAAAUACGCAGCACCAAAUACGCAGCACAAUACGCCGUGUGGGAAUGCACCCUUAGGGAAUAAAAGAUUACAGAUAUACAUGGAAUUAAUGGAGACAUUUGGAAGAGUAAAGUCACUUAGGGCUUUACAGCAAUGUUAAGCAAUGUUUAGUAACACAAUAAAUAAACAACUUGAUCAGUAAUACUGUGAUCAGUAAACCUAUACUGCUACUAGCAUGUCAUACUAGAGGACAGAUUAUAUUACAGCCUGUCUAUCUACUGGUACAGAUCAACACGGACAAACCAUUUGUUCAUUGUCAUCAUCACUGGGCCCUUCUGAAGAUUAUAGACCAGCUAUGACCAUGACCACUAGACGUACCACCACAA